GAGAUCCUUAGGUGGGCAUACCUACUCUUAGAAUCAACUAUAUAAGUAGUCUAGCAUGAGAUGUGGAGAUCAGUAUACUAGCCUCUAAUCAAGGAUCACCAUAUACCCACCAAAACUCCUUCUUAUUAAACUCUCUUCCAUUUCUUUGAUCAACAUUCAUUCUUGAUUUUCCGACGAUGCCGAUCAGCCGGAUAGCAAUCGGAAGACCGGAGGAAGCCACUCACCCCGACGCCUUAAAGGCGGCGUUGGCCGAGUUUAUUUCCACCUUAAUUUUCGUAUUUGCAGGUUCAGGUUCAGGUGUAGCAUUUAGCAAGUUGACUGGAGGUGGUGCUAACACCCCUGCCGGUCUCAUCGCCGCCGCAAUUGCUCAUGCUUUUGGGUUGUUCGUGGCGGUUUCCGUCGGUGCUAACAUUUCCGGCGGACAUGUUAACCCUGCUGUCACCUUUGGUGCCUUUGUUGGUGGUAAUAUCACACUUUUACGUGGAAUUUUGUACUGGAUUGCUCAGUUGCUUGGCUCUGUUGUUGCUUGCUUCCUUCUCAAGUUCAC
This 547-nucleotide long non-coding RNA is filed under the name Nicotiana tabacum (common tobacco). RNAcentral describes it as "long non-coding RNA (NTAB_LNC000328)". The record is from RNAcentral. Lineage: Eukaryota; Viridiplantae; Streptophyta; Magnoliopsida; Solanales; Solanaceae.